CGUAGGGUGCAAGCGUUAAUCGGAAUUACUGGGCGUAAAGCGUGCGCAGGCGGUUAUGCAAGACAGAGGUGAAAUCCCCGGGCUCAACCUGGGAACUGCCUUUGUGACUGCAUGGCUAGAGUACGGUAGAGGGGGAUGGAAUUCCGCGUGUAGCAGUGAAAUGCGUAGAUAUGCGGAGGAACACCGAUGGUGAAGGCAAUCCCCUGGACCUGUACUGACGCUCAUGCACGAAAGCGUGGGGAGCAAACAGGAUUAGAUACCCUGGUAGUCCACGCCCUAAACGAUGUCAACUGGUUGUUGGGAGGGUUUCUUCUCAGUAACGUAGCUAACGCGUGAAGUUGACCGCCUGGGGAGUACGGCCGCAAGGUUG
Molecule: ribosomal RNA, 370 nt
Filed under: uncultured organism
Description: bacterial SSU rRNA
Rfam family: Bacterial small subunit ribosomal RNA
Source: RNAcentral